RNAcentral lists this small RNA (612 nucleotides) under Pongo abelii (Sumatran orangutan). RNAcentral's name for it is "retained intron". The record is from RNAcentral. Lineage: Eukaryota; Metazoa; Chordata; Mammalia; Primates; Hominidae.
AGUAAGUCCCUAGGCCUCCAUCUCUCUCCCUUGCUGUACCACCUUCACCACCAUCCAUGCGACCCCAAGAGCCUUAAUGACUCUAGAAGAGACUCCAGGCAGGAGAAGCUGAAAGGACCUUUCACUCCCUACUUUUGGCCAGGGCCUUCUGUGCCACCUGCCAAGGCCAGCAGGCCUACCCUCUGAAGAGGUCCAAGCAACGGAAGUACUACUACGAAGCUGCCUUUCUGGCCAUCCUUGAGAAAAACAGACAGAUGGCCAAGGAGAGGGGCCUAAUAAGCCCCAGUGAUUUUGCCCAGCUGCAAAAAUACAUGGAAUGUGAGUCUUCCUGUCAGGCCUUCAGUUCGGGAGACCCUGCCCCAGAGAAUCCCUCCUCCUCAUCAUUACACCCCCUGCCCCCAGCUUCCUCAGUGGCUUUGAGCAGUGUGCUGCUCAGAUGUGCCCAUGACUGGAAAUGGGAGGAGUGGGAGAUGGGGAGAUGUCAGAAAAAGAUCCGGAUCUACCACAGUCUAACUGGGCUGCAUUGUGCAAGGUCUCAGCUCUCUACCCACCUUCGCUAUACCUGGACUGCUUGCUCCAGCUCUCAGAGAAGAGGAGUAAAGAGUGGUACUG